This 409-nucleotide ribosomal RNA is filed under the name uncultured Endozoicomonas sp. Its description in RNAcentral is "bacterial SSU rRNA". It matches the Rfam family "Bacterial small subunit ribosomal RNA", at positions 9 to 414 of the family's 1533-position model. Lineage: Bacteria; Pseudomonadati; Pseudomonadota; Gammaproteobacteria; Oceanospirillales; Endozoicomonadaceae. The record is from RNAcentral.
GAGUUUGAUCAUGGCUCAGAUUGAACGCUGGCGGCAGGCCUAACACAUGCAAGUCGAGCGGUAACAGGACUAGCUUGCUAGUUGCUGACGAGCGGCGGACGGGUGCGUAACACGUAGGAAUCUGCCCGGUAGUGGGGGAUAGCCCGGAGAAAUCCGGAUUAAUACCGCAUACGCCCUAAGGGGGGAAAGAUGGCCUCUUCUCGAAAGCUAUCACUAUCGGAUGAGCCUGCGUCGGAUUAGCUAGUUGGUGAGGUAAAGGCUCACCAAGGCGACGAUCCGUAGCUGGUCUGAGAGGAUGAUCAGCCACACUGGGACUGAGACACGGCCCAGACUCCUACGGGAGGCAGCAGUGGGGAAUAUUGCACAAUGGCGCAAGCCUGAUGCAGCCAUGCCGCGUGUGUGAGAAGGC